This 441-nucleotide ribosomal RNA is filed under the name uncultured bacterium. Its description in RNAcentral is "bacterial SSU rRNA". It matches the Rfam family "Bacterial small subunit ribosomal RNA", at positions 938 to 1379 of the family's 1533-position model. The record is from RNAcentral.
CAUGUGGUUUAAUUCGAAGAUACGCGAAAAACCUUACCAGGUCUUGACAUACCAAUGAUCGCUUUUGUAAUGAAAGCUUUUCUUCGGAACAUUGGAUACAGGUGGUGCAUGGUCGUCGUCAGCUCGUGUCGUGAGAUGUUGGGUUAAGUCCCGCAACGAGCGCAACCCUUGUUAUUAGUUGCCAGCAUUUAGUUGGGCACUCUAAUGAGACUGCCGGUGAUAAACCGGAGGAAGGUGGGGACGACGUCAGAUCAUCAUGCCCCUUAUGACCUGGGCAACACACGUGCUACAAUGGGAAGUACAACGAGUCGCAAACCGGCGACGGCAAGCUAAUCUCUUAAAACUUCUCUCAGUUCGGACUGGAGUCUGCAACUCGACUCCACGAAGGCGGAAUCGCUAGUAAUCGCGAAUCAGCAUGUCGCGGUGAAUACGUUCCCGGGC